This is a long non-coding RNA of Octopus sinensis (East Asian common octopus), 231 nucleotides long. RefSeq lists it as uncharacterized. The record is from RefSeq and is a predicted model, not a curated record. The transcript is spliced from 3 exons. NCBI's taxonomy places the organism in Eukaryota, Metazoa, Mollusca, Cephalopoda, Octopoda, Octopodidae.
AGCUUUCUACAGGUAUGCCAAAGAAACAGCUACGGUGCACUGUAGGAUAGGGCCACUCCUUGAAAAUGAUGGCACGCUCACAGGAAACCCAAAGAGGAUAAGUGAAAUACUAAAUGAGCAAUUCACGAGUAUUUUCACUCCAGCCCUAGGGCAUAUUCAUGUCAGCAAUCCAACUGACUUCUUUACCACUGCAGAUAUAAAACCAGGGGCUGCGAUGAUUGAUUGCAUCAA